This is a long non-coding RNA of Larimichthys crocea (large yellow croaker), 503 nucleotides long. RefSeq lists it as uncharacterized. The transcript is spliced from 2 exons. NCBI's taxonomy places the organism in Eukaryota, Metazoa, Chordata, Actinopteri, Sciaenidae. The record is from RefSeq and is a predicted model, not a curated record.
GAUUCAGCGCUCAAUGCGGCGUCUAUGUAUAUAUGUCUAUGGUCGGACCAACGUCAAGGCAGCCACGAGCUACAUGCUAGCGCUUUUCGCUACGAGCUACAUGCUAGUGGUUUUUGCUACGAGCUACAUGCUAACGUUUUCCUGCUACGCACUUUGUCGUUUCUGAGCAAGAGAGUGAGCAAUAUAUUGGGACGCUUUUAAUAUUUUUUAUCGGAAUGGAGAGCAAGACUUCUUUUUUUUUGUUGUUGUUGUUGCUGUGGAACCGUGUGUUCUGCAGGGUGGACGAGAGAGAGAGCCCUGGGCCGAUGACUGAAUUGAGAGCCGUGUGACCUGAGUUGUGCUGGAGGUUGUGAGAUUGUGUGUGGUGAUUGAGACUCUGGCCGGGUUCUUUUCCAUGGUAUGGAUUCCUGUUUCCAAAGACUGCAUGAAGAUAUCUACUACUGAGGUUUUUCCUGUGCUAUAAGGGAGAGGGACACUCAGUGGUUGUGGCGAGCCACCCAAGG